GAUGAACGCUGGCGGCGUGCCUAAUACAUGCAAGUCGAGCGAACGGACGCGAAGCUUGCUUCUCUGAUGUCAGAGGCGGACGUGUCAGUAAAAUAUGCAUAACCCACCUUUAAGAUAGGGCUAAAUAACGGGAACCAGUGCUAGUUAUGGCCUCUUUUUUCAUAGGGAUGGUUUGAAAGCUCCAGAGGGUCUUGAUGGCCCUUCUACAUGGCAUCGCGUUGCAUUAGCUAGUUGGUAAGGUAACGGCUUACCAAGGCAACGGUGUAUAGCCGACCUGAGAGGGUGAACCGCCACAGUGAGGGUGAGACGCGGUCCAGACUCCGACAUGAGGCAGCGGUAGGGAAUCUUCCGCAAUGGGCGGAAGCCUGAAGGAGCAACGCCAGGUGAAUGAUGAAGGGCUUCGGAUCGUAUAACUCUGUUAUUAUUGAAGAACAUAUUUGUAAGUAACGGUGCACAUCUUGACGGUACCUAAUCAGAAAGCCACGGCUAACUACGUG
Molecule: ribosomal RNA, 497 nt
Filed under: uncultured bacterium
Lineage: Bacteria
Description: partial 16S ribosomal RNA
Rfam family: Bacterial small subunit ribosomal RNA
Source: RNAcentral